RNAcentral lists this ribosomal RNA (613 nucleotides) under uncultured bacterium. Its description in RNAcentral is "bacterial SSU rRNA". It matches the Rfam family "Bacterial small subunit ribosomal RNA", at positions 238 to 842 of the family's 1533-position model. The record is from RNAcentral.
GCAUUAGCUAGUUGGUAAGGUAACGGCUUACCAAGGCGAUGAUGCAUAGCCGAGUUGAGAGACUGAUCGGCCACAAUGGAACUGAGACACGGUCCAUACUCCUACGGGAGGCAGCAGUAGGGAAUCUUCCACAAUGGGCGCAAGCCUGAUGGAGCAACACCGCGUGAGUGAAGAAGGGUUUCGGCUCGUAAAGCUCUGUUGUUGGAGAAGAACGUGCGUGAGAGUAACUGUUCGCGCAGUGACGGUAUCCAACCAGAAAGUCACGGCUAACUACGUGCCAGCAGCCGCGGUAAUACGUAGGUGGCAAGCGUUAUCCGGAUUUAUUGGGCGUAAAGCGAGCGCAGGCGGUUGCUUAGGUCUGAUGUGAAAGCCUUCGGCUUAACCGAAGAAGUGCAUCGGAAACCGGGCAACUUGAGUGCAGAAGAGGACAGUGGAACUCCAUGUGUAGCGGUGGAAUGCGUAGAUAUAUGGAAGAACACCAGUGGCGAAGGCGGCUGUCUGGUCUGCAACUGACGCUGAGGCUCGAAAGCAUGGGUAGCGAACAGGAUUAGAUACCCUGGUAGUCCAUGCCGUAAACGAUGAGUGCUAGGUGUUGGAGGGUUUCCGCCCUUCA